UCCGUGUUCACCACGGCAGUCUCUUUAGAGUGCCCAACUGAAUGCUGGCAACUAAAGACAAGGGUUGCGCUCGUUGCGGGACUUAACCCAACAGGUCACCCCACGAGCUGACGACAGCCAUGCAGCACCUGUCACCCUGCGGUAUUGCUACCGAGACCGUAUCUCUACGGCUGUCAGGGGAUGUCAAACCCAGGUAAGGUUCUUCGCGUUGCUUCGAAUUAAACCACAUGAUCCACCGCUUGUGCGGGCCCCCGUCAAUUCCUUUGAGUUUUAGCCUUGCGGCCGUACUUCCCAGGCGGGGUACUUAUUGCGUUAGCGCCGGUUCAGCAGGGGUCAAGACCCACCAAACCUAGUACCCAUCGUUUACAGCGUGGACUAC
Molecule: unclassified non-coding RNA, 379 nt
Filed under: uncultured Oligoflexales bacterium
Lineage: Bacteria; Pseudomonadati; Bdellovibrionota; Oligoflexia; Oligoflexales
Description: contains 16S-23S intergenic spacer region
Source: RNAcentral